GUCUAGUGGCGAACGGGUGCGUAACACGUGAGCAACCUGCCGUGAAGUGGGGGAUAGCUCGCCGAAAGGCGAAUUAAUACCGCAUGUGGCCAGGAAGGACAUCCUUCCGACGCCAAAGCCGGGGCAACCUGGCGCUUCUCGAGGGGCUCGCGGCCUAUCAGCUUGUUGGUGAGGUAACGGCUCACCAAGGCUAUGACGGGUAGCUGGUCUGAGAGGACGACCAGCCACACUGGAACUGAGACACGGUCCAGACACCUACGGGUGGCAGCAGUCGAGAAUUUUUCACAAUGGGGGAAACCCUGAUGGAGCGACGCCGCGUGGAGGAUGACGGUUUUCGGAUUGUAAACUCCUGUCAUUAGAGAACAAGGCACACGGUUUAACUGGCCGCGUGUUGAUAGUAUCUGAAGAGGAAGAGACGGCUAACUCUGUGCCAGCAGCCGCGGUAAUACAGAGGUCUCAAGCGUUGUUCGGAUUCAUUGGGCGUAAAGGGUGCGUAGGUGGCGAGGUAAGUCGGAUGUGAAAUCUCCAAGCUCAACUUGGAAACUGCAUUCGAUACUGCUUUGCUAGAGGAUUGUAGAGGGCAUUGGAAUUCACGGUGUAGCAGUGAAAUGCGUAGAUAUCGUGAGGAAGACCAGUGGCGAAGGCGAAUGCCUGGGCAAUUCCUGACACUGAGGCACGAAGGCCAGGGGAGCAAACGGGAUUAGAUACCCCGGUAGUCCUGGCAGUAAACGGUGCACGUUUGGUGUGGGAGGAUUCGACCCCUUCCGUGCCGGAGCUAACGCGUUAAACGUGCCGCCUGGGGAGUACGGUCGCAAGAUUAAAACUCAAAGAAAUUGACGGGGACCCGCACAAGCGGUGGAGUAUGUGGCUUAAUUCGAUCAACGCGAAGAACCUUACCUGGCCUUGACAUGCAUCUCUAAUCCGGUGAAAGCCGGUGAGUGUAGCAAUACACAAUUUGCACAGGUGCUGCAUGGCUGUCGUCAGCUCGUGUCGUGAGAUGUUGGGUUAAGUCCCGCAACGAGCGCAACCCCUGUGAACUGUUGCCAUGGAGACGUGAGUCUCCGGCACUCUGUUCAGACUGCCCUGUUCAACGGGGAGGAAGGUGGGGACGACGUCAAGUCAGUAUGGCCCUUACGGCCAGGGCUGCACACGUACUACAAUGCCCGACACAGAAGGAUCCGAGACCGCAAGGUGGAGGAAAUCACCAAAGUCGGGCCCAGUUCGGAUUGGAGGCUGCAACUCGCCUCCAUGAAGCCGGAAUCGCUAGUAAUGGCGCAUCAGCUACGGCGCCGUGAAUACGUUCCCGGGUCUUGUACACACCGCCCGUCACAUCAUGGGAGUCGUUUGUACCCGAAGUGCGCGCGCCAACCGCAAGGAGGCAGCGCCCUAAGGUAUGAGCGGUAACUGGGAUGAAGUCGUAACAAGGUA
Molecule: ribosomal RNA, 1428 nt
Filed under: metagenome
Description: bacterial SSU rRNA
Rfam family: Bacterial small subunit ribosomal RNA
Source: RNAcentral